This 468-nucleotide ribosomal RNA is filed under the name uncultured bacterium. Its description in RNAcentral is "partial 16S ribosomal RNA". It matches the Rfam family "Bacterial small subunit ribosomal RNA", at positions 28 to 507 of the family's 1533-position model. The record is from RNAcentral.
GACGAACGCUGGCGGCGUGCUUAACACAUGCAAGUCGAACGGAAAGGCCCUGCUUUUGUCGGGUGCUCGCGUGGCGACCGUGUGAAUAACACGUGAGUAUCCUGCCCUUUACUUUGGGAUAACUUCAGGAAACUGGGGCUAAUACCUGAUAGGAGCUCCUGCUGCAUGGUGGGGGUUGGAACGUUUCGGCGGUUGGGGAUGGACUCGCGGCUUAUCAGCUUGUUGGUGGGGUAGUGGCUUACCAAGGCUUUGACGGCUAGCCGGCCUGAGAGGGUGAACGGCCACAUGGGGACUGAGAUAGGGCACAGACGGCUACGGGAGGCAGCAGUGGGGAAUAUUGCACAAUGGGCGGAAGCCUGAUGAAGCAGCGCGGCGUGCGGGAUGACGGCCUUCGGGUUGUAAACCGCUUUCGCCUGUGACGAAGCGUGAGUGACGGUAAUGGGUAAAGAAGCACCGGCUAACUACGUG